GAGAGGUGCUGCAUGGCUGUCGUCAGCUCGUGCUGUGAAACGUUGGGUUAAGUCUCGCAACGAGCGCAACCCCUAUCGUCUGUUGCCAGCAUUAAGUUGGGCACUCUGACGAGACUGCCUGGGUUAACCAGGAGGAAGGUGGGGAUGACGUCAAGUCCUCAUGGCCCUUAUGUCUAGGGCUACACACGUAAUACAAUGGCGCGUACAGAGGGAAGCGAACUCGCAAGGGGGAGCAAAUCUCAAAAAGCGCGCCUCAGUUCGGAUUGGAGUCUGCAACUCGACUCCAUGAAGUUGGGAUCGCUAGUA
RNAcentral lists this ribosomal RNA (306 nucleotides) under uncultured Peredibacter sp. RNAcentral's name for it is "bacterial SSU rRNA". It matches the Rfam family "Bacterial small subunit ribosomal RNA", at positions 1033 to 1340 of the family's 1533-position model. The record is from RNAcentral. Lineage: Bacteria; Pseudomonadati; Bdellovibrionota; Bacteriovoracia; Bacteriovoracales; Bacteriovoracaceae.